AUGAAGGUGAAGAUAAUGUCGCAUUUAUUUGUGUUUAAAUUUGACCGAGAAACUAUUGAGGAUAACAUGUUGUUUCCUUUGUAUGAUUUGAGCGAGAAAGUCUUUUUAAUCUGGAGUAUAGUCGAUUUAGUUGUAGCUGCCCUGGGUUUAAUAGUUGGAUGGCAUUGCUUGAUUCAAAAAUUCAUUUUGUCAAUGGUUUGUAUAAGACAUUUUUGA
Molecule: non-coding RNA, 216 nt
Organism: Vicia faba (fava bean)
Lineage: Eukaryota; Viridiplantae; Streptophyta; Magnoliopsida; Fabales; Fabaceae
Source: the annotation of a GenBank genome assembly